CACUCCUAUUAUUGUGCCAAUAUUUUUCUUUUUUUAAAAAAAUUAAGUUUGAUUCUUGCUUUUAUAUUUAAAUUUAGAAUUAUUUUAUAUGUAAGUUUUAUCUUUUUUUCUAAAUGAUUAAUUUUUCAGUAUUUAAUUUUGGUUUUUAUUGAAAGAUAAAAUCAGGAUUUCUUCUUUUUGAUUGACAAAAAUUGUGCCAGCCGUCGCGGUUAUACAAUUAAUCAAUUUAAAUAUUUUUGGUUAAAUAUUAAUUCUUUAAUUUUUUUAAUUUUAAUUAAAAUAAUUAGGUGAAAUUUUUAUUUUAUAAAAAUUUAUAGGUUGAUGAUUUAUAUAUGAAAAUCUUUAAUAAACUAGGAUUAGAUACCCUAUUAUUAGGAUUGUAAAUUUUACUUUAAUAUUAAUAGUUAUGUUCUUUAAAUUAAAAGAAUUUGGCGGUUAUUUAAUCUUUCUAGAGGAACCUGUCCUUUAAUUGAUAAUCCACGAUUGAUUUUACUUUAAUUUUAACUUAUAUAUCGCUGUCAUUGAAUGUUUUAUUAGAUUAUUUUCUUAAAUUUUUAUGAAUUUAAUGUUAGGUCAAGAUGUAGUCAUAUUAAAGUAGAGAUGGGUUACAUUUUUUUUAUAAAUGGAUUGGUUAUUGGAAUUUAACCAUAAAAUUGGAUUUAGGUGUAAUUUUUUAUUAAUAUAAAUUUUGAUUUUAGUUCUAAAUAAUGCACACAUCGCCCGUCACUCCCAUUUUUAAGUUGGGAUAAGUCGUAACAAAGUAGACCCACCGGAAGGUGGGUCUGGUUAUUACAAGUUAUUUCAUUUAGUGAAUUUAUUAUUUACAUUAAUAAAAGUGUUGUGCAAUUCAAUAUAACUUGAAUAAAUAAUUUUAUUAUUUUUCUUAUUUUUUUUCUUUUUAAAAAAAAUAUUUUAUCUUUUAGUAUAUUAUUGAAUUAAUAUAUUUUAUUAAUAGUUUAUUUUACUGUGAAGGAAUAUUUAUAUAUACAUAAAAGUAUUUUUUAUUUAAUGUACCUUUUGCAUCAGGGUUUAUUAAAUUAAUAAAAUUAUUUUAUUUUCUCGAAAUUCUGAGAUUUAAUUUAAAAUGAUUUUUUUUGUUUCAAAACAAUUUUUAAUUUUAAAUUAGAUGUUAUAUACUUUUCAUUCAGAUUUAUAUCUAGUUUAUUAAUAAUUAAAUUUAAUUUAUAUUUAUCAAGUUUUAAUUUAAUUUUAUUAUUAAAAUUUUUUAAAUAAAUAUUUUUGGGGAUAAGCUCUAUAAUUUUUUAAAACAUUUAUUUACUAUAAGAUUUUUUUUAGGAUUGAAAAUUUUCAUUAUAUUUUGUUAUAAUUAUUUUUCUUUAUGAAAGAUUUUUUUUUGUUUAAUUUUUUAUUAAUAUUUUAUAUUUACUUUAUGUUUAUAAUAAAUAAUGAUAAAAUUAGUAAUUUUUUUAAUCUGUUUAUAGUAACUCGGCAAAUUUAAUUUUCACCUGUUUAACAAAAACAUGGUCUUUUGUUUUUUAUUUAAGAUCAGGCCUGCCCAUUGAUUUUAAAAAAUUAAAAGGCUGCGGUAUUUUAACUGUACGAAGGUAGCAUAAUCAUUUGUCUUUUAAUUGUAGGCUAGAAUGAAUGGUUUAAUGAAAAAUUAACUUUCUUUAUUCAGUUAAAUUUAAUUUAAUUUUUAAGUUAAAAAGCUUAAAUUUUUAUAUAGGACGAGAAGACCCUUUAGAAGUUUACUUUUUUUAUAAAAAUUAUUUUUUAGUUUUUAAAUAAUUUUUUUUUGAAUGAAAAGUUUGGUUGGGGUGACAGUAAAAUUUAAUUAACUUUUAUUUUUAAUUUCAUUUAUAAAUGUUUUUUUGAUCCAAAAUUUUUGAUUAAAAGAUCAACUUACCUAAGGGAUAACAGCGUAAUUUUUUUGGAGAGUUCAUAUCGAUAAAAAAGUUUGCGACCUCGAUGUUGAAUUAAGAUUAGAAUUGGGUGAAGAAUUUCAAUUUUCUUGGUCUGUUCGACCAUUAAAUUCUUACAUGAUUUGAGUUCAGACCGGCGUGAGCCAGGUCGGUUUCUAUCCUUACUUAAUAUAAUUUAGUACGAAAGGACCAUUUAUAUUAAUUAAAUUAUUUUUUUUGAUU
This 2105-nucleotide ribosomal RNA is filed under the name Microvelia pulchella. Its description in RNAcentral is "partial 12S ribosomal RNA". The stretch from base 1874 to 2033 matches the Rfam family "Archaeal large subunit ribosomal RNA", at positions 2544 to 2703 of the family's 2987-position model. Lineage: Eukaryota; Metazoa; Arthropoda; Insecta; Hemiptera; Veliidae. The record is from RNAcentral.